AUUGAACGCUGGCGGCAUGCUUUACACAUGCAAGUCGAACGGCAGCGCGGGCUUCGGCCUGGCGGCGAGUGGCGAACGGGUGAGUAAUACAUCGGAACGUGCCCAGUAGUGGGGGAUAGCUCGGCGAAAGCCGGAUUAAUACCGCAUACGACCUGAGGGUGAAAGCGGGGGAUCUUCGGACCUCGCGCUAUUGGAGCGGCCGAUGGCAGAUUAGCUAGUUGGUGGGGUAAAGGCCUACCAAGGCGACGAUCUGUAGCUGGUCUGAGAGGACGACCAGCCACACUGGGACUGAGACACGGCCCAGACUCCUACGGGAGGCAGCAGUGGGGAAUUUUGGACAAUGGGCGAAAGCCUGAUCCAGCAAUGCCGCGUGUGUGAUGAAGGCCUUCGGGUUGUAAAGCACUUUUGGCGGGAACGAAAAGGACUGUGCCAAUACCACGGUUCGAUGACGGCACCCGCAGAAUAAGCACCGGCUAACUACGUG
RNAcentral lists this ribosomal RNA (484 nucleotides) under uncultured bacterium. Its description in RNAcentral is "partial 16S ribosomal RNA". It matches the Rfam family "Bacterial small subunit ribosomal RNA", at positions 29 to 507 of the family's 1533-position model. The record is from RNAcentral.